RNAcentral lists this unclassified non-coding RNA (510 nucleotides) under Hevea brasiliensis (rubber tree). Lineage: Eukaryota; Viridiplantae; Streptophyta; Magnoliopsida; Malpighiales; Euphorbiaceae. The record is from RNAcentral.
GGUGCUCGAUGGUGAACUUCGUUCUGUUAUGCAGUCAUACGAUCUUUUCCCUAAUCAACACGUUAUUGAUCCUCUCCAGGUACUGGAAAUUUUGCAUUACUCCUAAUUGAAGGUAGGGGACGUGGCCUUUGCAGGCGAAUAAUAUCAGUUGUGAAGGCAGCAAACAUUUUGGGUCUUUCAUUUUCAGAAGCAUUUGAGAAGCCUCCCAUUGAACUCUUACAAUUGCUUUCUCUAAAAGCGCAAGACUCUUUUGAAGAAGCAAAGCUCUUAGUUCAAUCACAUUGUAUGCCUGCAGCUAGUAUUGCUCAAAUUCUUGCGGAAUCAUUUUUGAAGGGUUUGCUAGCAGCACAUCGUGGAGGUUACAUGGAAUCUCAAAAAGAGGAGGGCCCUGCUCCUUUAUUGUGGAGAUUUUCUGAUUUCUUGAAGUGGGCUGAGCUUUGCCCCUCUGAACCAGAAAUUGGCCAUGCUUUACUGCGUUUAGUUGCCACUUGUCAAGGAAUACCACAUGCC